AGCAAAGUAUUUCCCGCUCUUAAUAUUAAUUGUGGUAUUAUAGUGUAAAUGUUUUUCUGCGCAUAGAUAUGAGCGCAGCUUCAGUGCUGAAUCGUCUUCUCUGCAACAAAUCCUUCAACUCCCAAACCCAACCCACAAGUGCGAAAGCCUUAACUAACACCAUCCUUAACCUCCUCAAAUCCAAUCACCUCCGCAAAGCUGUUUCUGUUCUCUUUGCAUCCCCUUUCCCUGUUCCUUAUUCCUUGUACGCUCGACUAUUCCAGCUUUGCUCUUCAACUCUUGCAAUUGUGGAGGCUCGAAAAGUCGAAUCACAUUUGGUUACAUUCUCUCCAACUCCACCAGUCUUUCUCUUGAAUCGGGCCAUUGAGACUUAUGGAAAAUGUGGGUGUUUGGAGGAUGCAAAAGAAUUGUUCGACGAAAUGCCUCAAAGAGAUGGUGGAUCUUGGAAUGCAAUCGUUAAAGCUUUCACACAAUGCGGGAGCGCAGAGGAAGCUUUGUAUUUGUUUAAGGAUAUGCAUAAGGAAGGAGUUCUUGCAAAUGAGAUUACAUUUGCCAGCGUUCUGGGGUCGUGUGGUGAUGUUUUGGCGCUUUCUCUAUCUAGGCAAGUUCAUGGGCUUAUUAUGAAAUAUGGGUUUUGUUGGAAUGUCGUUUUGGGAAGUGCGCUCGUUGAUGUGUACGGCAAGUGUAAGGCUAUGAGGGAAGCGAGGUUGAUGUUUGACGAGAUUGAGAAUUCUAAUGAUGUUACUUGGAAUGUAAUAGUUAGGCGCUAUCUCGAGGCAGACAAUGACAGGGAGGCGGUGAUUAUGUUCUUUAAGAUGUUCCAAACAGAUGUUAGACCGCUAAAUUUUACCUUUUCUAACGCCCUUCUUGCAUGUUCAGCUAUGCAUGCGCUCAAGGAGGGGAUGCAGAUUCAUGGAGUCGCAAUUAAGAUUAACUUUGACGAAAAUGAGACGGUUUCAAGUUCUCUCAGUAACAUGUAUGCGAAGUGUGGGAGAAUAGAGAGCGCUCGCAUGGUUUUUGACCAACCUGGUGCAAAAGAUUUGAUAUCUUGGACCUCAAUGAUAUCAGUUUACGCAAUGAGUGGGAAAACAAGGGAGGCUAGGGAACUUUUUGAAGAGAUGCCUGAAAGGAGUGUUAUCUCAUGGAAUGCUAUGUUGGCCGGGUACACUCGUUCUCUCCAGUGGCAAGAGGCCUUAGAUUUGGUUCGUUUAAUGCGCAGGACAACUAAAGACAUUGACCAUGUCACCCUAGGAUUACUGUUGAAUGUUUGUGCUGGUCUUCUAGAUCUUGAAAUUGGAAAACUGGUUCAUGGGUUCAUAUAUCGACGUGGUUACAGUUCCAACCUGCUUGUUGGCAACGCCCUUCUUGACAUGUACGGAAAAUGUGGGAACUUGAAAAGUGCUAGAGUUUGGUUUUACCAAAUGAGUCAAUCACGGGAUAACAUUUCUUGGAAUGCUUUGUUGACCAGCUAUGCCCGUCAUCACCAGAGUGAACAAGUUAUGAUGAUUUUUGGGCAGAUGCAGUGGGAGACAAGACCCAGUAUAUUUACUUUUGCAACUCUUUUAGCAGCUUGUGCAAAUGUUUCUGCACUUGGUCAAGGAAAACAAAUACAUGGAUUCAUGAUUAGAAAUGGAUAUAACAUAGAUAUUGUAAUCAGAGGAGCUCUAGUUGACAUGUACUCUAAAUGUCGUUGUAUUCCUUAUGCUCUUGCAGUCUUUAGAGAGGCAGCUUCCAGGGAUGUGGUUCUCUGGAACUCCAUAAUUUUGGGAUGCUGUCACAAUGGAAGAGGCGAAGAGGGCCUUAAAUUGUUUGAGUUAAUGGUGGAGAAAGGGAAUAAACCAGACCAUGUUUCCUUUCAAGGUGUCUUGCUUGCUUGUAUGAGUGAAGGUCAUAUUGAUUUGGCCACACAGUAUUUUAAUUCAAUGAGCAAUGAAUAUUAUAUUAUACCACGGGUGGAGCACUAUGAGUGUAUGAUUGAACUCUUAAGUAGGUAUGGAUGCAUGAAUGAGCUUGAGGAUUUUGUUAAGGGGAUGCCAUUUGAUCCCACUGUGCCCAUGCUGACAAGAGUUUUGGAUGCUUGUAAAGAUCAUGGAUGCUCCAGAUUGGGAAAAUGGGUUGCUAAACAGCUUAACAAAUGAAUCCCUUUACCCUGUCCAUUUUGAAGUCAGAGAUGGACAACCUAGGUGAGUUAUGGUCACCAAAUUAAAGAUAAUGGAAUCUUGGUUUGCGGUUGCAGCUACAGGUAACCAACUUCAAGUUCUCUUGUCACAAGUGGAUUUAGCAUGAGGGACCACCGCAUAGUGUUAAAGUUGGGGUUAUAGGCUCACCUAGAAGUUGUCAUAAUGACUACUAGCAUCUCACCUGCCAUAACUGAAGAUAGAUUUUUAUUGUACUUUUUGUAUUUUGGAAUUGGUUAAAGGUAGCAUCUAGUAUAAUUUCAUAUGAGAAUGAACUUAAUUAUUGUUAGAUCAAUAUUUAUAUUAAGAUUCGUUUAGAGUUAAUUAAAAGUGCAUACAAUGAAUGUACAAAUUUACAUGCAAAUAUUUAGUAUGAUGGUUAUCAAGCUCACCUCAUAUGAGGUCAAGCUUUUCAUAGUCCAUCCAAGCUUCAUGUAAUUGAGGACCUGCCAAUGCUGCAGUAUCAAAUCCUUGAGACUUGGAAUUCAAUAUAUUUGUCCAUGAACAGGUUCCUCAAGAAAGAGAAGGAACCUCAACAAGAGGAAAUUAGUUUGGCGCGAGGAGGAUUUUCCAGUUCAUAGAUCCGAGAUCUUAUUAUUGGGCACAUAACAUUUUGGUAACAAGUAGUGGUCAACAAAAUUUCAUUCCCCAACCCAGUGAACGAGAUGAAGGGUGUACGGUGCCAAGAUGCACAAAGCUGGAUUUCCCUUCAUUUUAUGAUCCUGAAUAUUUGAUAGGAAUAUGGAUUAUUCUAGAAUAUAUAAUAACAGAAAGGAUAAGGUUUAUUGAAGAGAGGACAGCUAGCAAAGAGAGGCAAAAAUUUAUAUAAAGAGAGGGAGAGGAGAACGAAAAGGGGAUCUCGAAGUUGAAAUUUUCUCUGGAUUAGAGGGGUAGAACAAUCUGCAUGGGGAAUCUUCCUUGGGGGCUCUUGGCAGCCAUUUUUAUCUUUAUCUUGUUAGUUCCUUGGUUAUUUUAUUUUCUAAUAUUUGUUCCUUCCAUUUGAGAGUAGAAAAGACUAGAGAAAAUCUGUAAUUGGGCAAUACUGAUUGGAAUAGUAUUCUGCCUUUUCUUUUGUAAUACAAAUCUCAACUCAUCCAUUUCUUUCGAUUAUUUUACAUCAAAAUUAGUUCGUGACUCUAUCAAUAUUCAUUGGGGUGGAUUAAUCGUAGUGAGCAAUUUUUUCACAAUUAGCAUAUUGCAGAGGAAGAUAAAGUUAGCCUGGCAGUCUUUCACAUGACAGGAGAGAUCCAAUUUUGGUUUUAUCGCCUGGAGCAAGAGGAGCCUUGAAUGACAUGAGCCCAAUUCAAAGAAUUUUGCAAUUUGAGUUUCGAGCUCCCUUUACGCAACAAUUCUUUGGGUGAGUUGAUGAUCUCAAAUAGACGGCAGCAGUAGAAGAGUACUAGAAAAGUUUCAAGUCUUGGAGGUAGAAUUGCAGAAUCCCUAAAAUUUGGCCAUUGUGAUGAAUUUAAACCGCACCUUUGAGAAGAAACAACUGAUUGGCCUUGAAAAACGGUUUUCAACUACCAGGACACCUUAGAGAUCAACGACAAGGAUAGAAGGGCAAAGCAUAGUUCCCAAAGGUUCAAUAAUUGCAGGAUCAAGUGUAACAACAUUCAGUGUGGGAAAUGCCUCUGCAUCAUUUAUUAAAAGACUCAGCAGGACAGAGAUGGUAGAGCGGCAGGGGUAAUUAUGACGAGCCUUAUUUUUUCGAUCAUCAAUGUAAAAAAUUAUUUGGUUGGAAAUGGAGGAGUUAGAGUCGAUAGAUGACUUGGGGGAUUGAAAUCUCUUUGCAUGAGAUUUUUGGUUUGCAAAGCUCACCGACCAUGCAGCUCAAAGUAGUUGCAGAAGAGGUUCCCUUGUUAAUCAUUGUUGAUUCGGAAACAGCAACAAAAGUUUGGGCAUUCCUAUAUAGAAACAAACGGGGCUGAGUGUAUCAGUGGCAAAUGGGGAGCAAGUCUCCAGUUUGGAUAUGUGUACUGCAUUAACAUUCUAGGUAGACCAAGAACUAUUUAUAUCUUUUUUUGCAAUGGAGAGAAUGUGUAAAUGUUUGAGUUAGAGAUCAAAGGUAAUUUAUACUGACUGCACACCAACUUUGGGGGUUAACACUGAUUGUAUGAUUUGCAAUUAUAAAUUUCAUCAGUGUCAUAACUAACUGGAGCAAUAUUUGUUGCUAGCAGUGUCCCACAAAUAUAUUAUAAAAGUUUUCAUUCAAUCAAUGUCAACAUUGGUUC
This is an RNA transcript of Manihot esculenta (cassava), 4408 nucleotides long. It is a transcript of the gene named pentatricopeptide repeat-containing protein At3g26540, with no coding region annotated. The transcript has 3 exons. Lineage: Eukaryota; Viridiplantae; Streptophyta; Magnoliopsida; Malpighiales; Euphorbiaceae. The record is from RefSeq and is a predicted model, not a curated record.